UAGUCCACGCCGUAAACGAUGAUCACUCGAUAUUGGCUUCGGUCAGUGUCCAAGCGAAAGUGAUAAGUGAUCCACCUGGGGAGUACGCCCGCAAGGGUGAAACUCAAAGGAAUUGACGGGGGCCCGCACAAGCGGUGGAGCAUGUGGUUUAAUUCGAUGAUACGCGAGGAACCUUACCAAGGCUUAAAUGCGGAACGAUCGAGGUGGAAACACCUCUUCCUUCGGGCGGUCCGCAAGGUGCUGCAUGGUUGUCGUCAGCUCGUGCUGUGAAGUGUCGGGUUAAGUCCCAUAACGAGCGCAACCCCUAUCUUUAGUUGCCAGCGAUUCGGUCGGGGACUCUAAAGAAACUGCCGGCGUAAGCCGCGAGGAAGGUGGGGAUGACGUCAAGUCCUCAUGGCCCUUACAAGCUGGGGCUACACACGUGCUACAAUGGGCGAUGACAGUGAGCAGCUAACCCGCGAGGGCAA
Molecule: ribosomal RNA, 467 nt
Filed under: uncultured bacterium
Lineage: Bacteria
Description: bacterial SSU rRNA
Rfam family: Bacterial small subunit ribosomal RNA
Source: RNAcentral